AAUGAACGCUGGCGGCGCGCCUAAUACAUGCAAGUCGAGCGAGAAGACGUAGCAAUACGUUUGUAAAGCGGCGAACGGGUGAGGAAUACAUGGGUAACCUACCCUCGAGUGGGGAAUAACUAGCCGAAAGGUUAGCUAAUACCGCGUACGCUCCUUGGACUUCGGUUCAGGGAGGAAAGCGAUACCGUGGGUAUCGCGCUCUUGGUUGGGCUCAUGUCCUAUCAGCUUGUUGGUGAGGUAACGGCUCACCAAGGCUUCGACGGGUAGCUGGUCUGAGAGGACGAUCAGCCACACGUGGCACUGCGACACGGGCCAGACUCCGUACGGAGGCAGCAAGUAAGGAAUAUUGC
RNAcentral lists this ribosomal RNA (350 nucleotides) under uncultured bacterium. RNAcentral describes it as "bacterial SSU rRNA". It matches the Rfam family "Bacterial small subunit ribosomal RNA", at positions 29 to 367 of the family's 1533-position model. The record is from RNAcentral.